AAUCAAUCCACUGAAAGAAGUCUGGAUAAUUUAUCAGCUGUGGCAAAAAGCGGGGAAGCAUGGAGCAACUUCUGUCCUCCAAUUCAAGCAAUGACAGCAGAUCUGGAAACUGAAAGACC
Long non-coding RNA from Etheostoma cragini (Arkansas darter), 119 nucleotides. RefSeq lists it as uncharacterized. Lineage: Eukaryota; Metazoa; Chordata; Actinopteri; Perciformes; Percidae. The transcript has 3 exons. The record is from RefSeq and is a predicted model, not a curated record.